This 203-nucleotide ribosomal RNA is filed under the name uncultured Leptolinea sp. RNAcentral describes it as "partial 16S ribosomal RNA". It matches the Rfam family "Bacterial small subunit ribosomal RNA", at positions 1181 to 1382 of the family's 1533-position model. The record is from RNAcentral. Lineage: Bacteria; Bacillati; Chloroflexota; Anaerolineae; Anaerolineales; Anaerolineaceae.
GAUGUCAAGUCAGCAUGGCCUUUAUAUCCUGGGCUACACACACGCUACAAUGGCCAACACAAUAGGUUGCUAAGCCGCGAGGUGGCGCCAAUACCAUAAAGUUGGUCUCAGUUCAGAUUGUAGGCUGCAACCCGCCUGCAUGAAGAUGGAGUUGCUAGUAACCGCAGGUCAGCUAUACUGCGGUGAAUACGUUCCCGGGGCUU